RNAcentral lists this ribosomal RNA (390 nucleotides) under uncultured bacterium. RNAcentral's name for it is "partial 16S ribosomal RNA". It matches the Rfam family "Bacterial small subunit ribosomal RNA", at positions 355 to 736 of the family's 1533-position model. The record is from RNAcentral.
UGGGGAAUAUUGCACAAUGGGCGCAAGCCUGAUGCAGCCAUGCCGCGUGUGUGAAGAAGGCCUUCGGGUUGUAAAGCACUUUCAGCGAGGAGGAAGGGUUCAGUGUUAAUAGCACUGUUCAUUGACGUUACUCGCAGAAGAAGCACCGGCUAACUCCGUGCCAGCAGCCGCGGUAAUACGGAGGGUGCAAGCGUUAAUCGGAAUUACUGGGCGUAAAGCGCACGCAGGCGGUUUGUUAAGUCAGAUGUGAAAUCCCCGCGCUUAACGUGGGAACUGCAUUUGAAACUGGCAAGCUAGAGUCUUGUAGAGGGGGGUAGAAUUCCAGGUGUAGCGGUGAAAUGCGUAGAGAUCUGGAGGAAUACCGGUGGCGAAGGCGGCCCCCCUGGACAA